This 411-nucleotide ribosomal RNA is filed under the name Triticum aestivum (bread wheat). RNAcentral's name for it is "partial small subunit ribosomal RNA". Lineage: Eukaryota; Viridiplantae; Streptophyta; Magnoliopsida; Poales; Poaceae. The record is from RNAcentral.
AUGAGCAGAACUCGGUCCCAUUACAGGAGAAGAAGAAGGCACACAAAAGAAAGACUAAGAAGGGUGCGAGCCAGCCGGCACCGAGUACGAUCCGUGCUCAGGACAGGCCACCUUCACCGCAGGAUAUCUCGAGGAGGGUGCAUGUGGCAGGUAGGGCGAUGCUACCACCAAAUAUGCUCAAUGCUGCAACCGGUGCUAUGCGGAGUCUGCACGACAGUGUUCUUUCUUUGGAGAAGCGGCGUCUCAGAGAGAAGGAUGUGGCAUACCCGGUUUUCGUGGCCAAGGUGCCAGAGGGCAAGGGCUUUGUGGAUGGCGACAUCGGGGGUACGAUCGUCCUGCGGUUUGAUGACAUCUUUGCUAUGUUUAACCUUCAUCCGCUGCACUACACCUUCGUUCGGCUAUUUUCGCUGA